ACUACGGGAGGCAGCAGUGGGGAAUAUUGGACAAUGGGGGGAACCCUGAUCCAGCGACGCCGCGUGAGUGAAGAAGUAUUUCGGUAUGUAAAGCUCUAUCAGCAGGGAAGAAAAUGACGGUACCUGACUAAGAAGCCCCGGCUAACUACGUGCCAGCAGCCGCGGGAAUACGAAGGGGGCAAGCGUUAUCCGGAUUUACUGGGUGUAAAGGGAGCGUAGACGGUUCAGCAAGUCUGAUGUUAAAGGUCGGGGCCCAACCCCGGGACUGCAUUGGAAACUGUUGAACUGGAGUACAGGAGAGGUAAGCGGAAUUCCUAGUGUAGCGGUGAAAUGCGUAGAUAUUAGGAGGAACACCAGUGGCGAAGGCGGCUUACUGGACUGUAACUGACGUUGAGGCUCGAAAGCGUGGGGAGCAAACAGGAUUAGAUACCCCUGUAGUC
This 440-nucleotide ribosomal RNA is filed under the name uncultured bacterium. RNAcentral's name for it is "partial 16S ribosomal RNA". It matches the Rfam family "Bacterial small subunit ribosomal RNA", at positions 338 to 795 of the family's 1533-position model. The record is from RNAcentral.